RNAcentral lists this ribosomal RNA (471 nucleotides) under Botryotrichum sp. RNAcentral describes it as "partial large subunit ribosomal RNA". It matches the Rfam family "Eukaryotic large subunit ribosomal RNA", at positions 114 to 597 of the family's 3401-position model. The record is from RNAcentral. Lineage: Eukaryota; Fungi; Ascomycota; Sordariomycetes; Sordariales; Chaetomiaceae.
UUUGAAAUCUGGCUUCGGCCCGAGUUGUAAUUUGCAGAGGAAGCUUUAGGCGCGGCACCAUCUGAGUCCCCUGGAACGGGGCGCCACAGAGGGUGAGAGCCCCGUAUAGAUGGACGCCUAGCCUGUGUAAAGCUCCUUCGACGAGUCGAGUAGUUUGGGAAUGCUGCUCAAAAUGGGAGGUAAAUUUCUUCUAAAGCUAAAUACCGGCCAGAGACCGAUAGCGCACAAGUAGAGUGAUCGAAAGAUGAAAAGCACUUUGAAAAGAGGGUUAAAUAGCACGUGAAAUUGUUGAAAGGGAAGCGCUUGUGACCAGACUUGCGCCGGGCGGAUCAUCCGGUGUUCUCACCGGUGCACUCCGCCCGGCUCAGGCCAGCAUCGGUUCUCGUGGGGGGAUAAAGGCACCGGGAACGUAGCUCCUCCGGGAGUGUUAUAGCCCGGGGCGUAAUGCCCUCGCGGGGACCGAGGACCGCG